AUGUACAAUGCACAUGUGGCAGCAAGAUGGCCCACUCUGUGUUUGUACCAACUGGGCUAUCUUGUUGCCACAUGUGCAUUGUGUGGGCCAUCAUUGUGUACAAAUAGCGUUUCUGCUUAACAUAUUGAGGUUUCUAAUAGCAUUUCUGCUUAAGUAUUGAGGUUUCGAAAGAGGAGUUUCUGGGGGAAAUUUAUAUCAAGGUUUAGACUUGACAUCAUGCAAUGGAACUUUUGGCCAUGUACAAGGGUGCCCUUUUGGAUUAUUAACACUUCAAUGGAAUAAGAAUUGGGAACCCUUCCCUCCUUGCUGUUUUGGCAGUCUGGAUCAGUUAUAAGCUGCAAUGUUGUACUUCGGGUGUUCUUUGUGGCCAGAAACCUCCCUAUGGGAGAGCCAUGGCAGCACUGGAACCAAACAUAUGCUCACUCUUAUCUCGGUUGUGAAAGUUUGUUAACCAGUGACAGCUUCUCGUGCUGUGGUAUUAUGUGUAGGAGAGGGGUUUGCUGUAACAUGAUAGCAUGGUUUAAAAACUCCAAGCUUCUAGGAUGGACUUGAACCAUUAGGGAAGGAGACCUAUGAAGGAUAUGACCGGUUCAGAUACUUCAUUGCUGAAGAAGACCUCUAUUGCAGAUGACGAAAGCCAACAGCAAUAAAUGAUGGCUUUAUUCAGGAAAAAAGUUCUUCUGCUACAUGCGGGGUUUGACGACACGGUAUUGCUAGAUCAUGCCAUCAUUUGAACGAGGAAUGGACUUUUGCAUCGACAGAAAUACUACUCGUGGGGAGGAGCGAGAUGGGCGGUUGCUGGCAACAUCUCCAAGGUGUACUACAGGCUUUGCCUGGCUUUAAUUAGGCAUCUGCUAGUGGGCGGAAUUAUUGUUCCACAGAUUAGUCGGUUCAUGGGCCUGGUACCAAGUUAUCAAAAACAUAAAGUGUGUUCUCCAUGCAAAUGAAAGGCAUCUGCAUUUUUCUCUGUUCCCUUGGAUGAAUUCAUUUUUAUUAGUCGUUCUUUCUUUCCAAUUGGCUACCGGUUUCUUUUCAAUGUUUUGGUACUUUUCAGAUUCUUUUUUCUUGAACUUGUGUGCAAAGAGGGAAAUGAUCCGUUGAUGUUUGACCGUUUCAGUUUGAUCUUUGGGGGUGUAAACAUUGGAAUCCAUUUUCCUCAUUGUUUCUGCAAUUUAAAUUUUUUGCAUUA
Long non-coding RNA from Rhododendron vialii, 1189 nucleotides. RefSeq lists it as uncharacterized. The record is from RefSeq and is a predicted model, not a curated record. NCBI's taxonomy places the organism in Eukaryota, Viridiplantae, Streptophyta, Magnoliopsida, Ericales, Ericaceae. The transcript is spliced from 2 exons.